AGGUUACCGCCGAGAGGCCGCGUCCUCAGCUGGUCCUAGACAUGCGUGGCGUCGGGGCUGUGGCACGGUCGGGUCCGGGGACACUUGUUUAACAAGACAUCUGCCCAUGUCCCUGGCCCAUCUCAUUGGCUGCAGCACAUCACAGUGGACCUUCUGCCUCCUCCCAGAUGCCCAGGGACAGUGAUCUGGAAGGAAGGGGCUUGAGGCUGUUUUCCUAGAACUCGACUUGAAUGCACCAAGGAAAGGCCAUUUGUGGGGACAUAGCAAGAAGGCAGCUGUCUGCAAGCCAGGAGGAGAACCCUCACCAGAAACCUCACAGAAAUCGGCCAACACCCUCAUCUCGGGCUUCCAGCUUCAGAACAACGAGAAAACAAAUUUCUGUUGUGUCCUGGUUCCCAUUUGUAAUUGGCACCCUAAUGAAACCGUUUUCUGUAGCCCUGGAAAUGGCUGAAAAUGAGGGGAGGGAAAUAAAGUGCUAUAAUUCAGAGCAUGGAGCACACCUUCCUGGUUCACCUGAGCUGGAUUCGGAGAGGUAAAAUGGCCAUUACCUCGUCUAAGCUGCCACUUACAGACACAGUACAGGAUGAGGCCCAGACCCACAGAGACAACGAUGAUGGCCACAGCUAAGAUGAUCCAGAAAUUAUUCCUCCACCAGCUCAUUGCAGUGGAAUCCUGAGAAGAAUGGAGAGAGAAGAAUGAGGUUAUGCUGUGGUGUCGCCUUUUGUUACCAUCAAACCUCCAAUAAAACUGCAUAACACGGCCAGGUGCGGUGGCUCACGCCUGUAAUCCCAGCACUUUGGGAGGCUGAGGAGGGCAGAUCACUUCAGGUCAGGAGUUCAAGACCAGCCUGGCCAACAUGGCGAAACCCUGUCUCUACUAAAAAUACAAAAAUUAGCUGGGUGUGGUGGCACAUGCCUGUAGUCCCAGCUACUCAGGAGGCUGAGGCGGGAGAAUUGCUUAAAGCCAGGAAGCAGAGGUGGCAGUAAGCCGAGAUCACGCCACUACAUUCCAGCCUGGACAACAGAGCAAGACUCCAUCUCAAAACAAAAGCAAAGGCUGGGUGCAGUGGCUCACGCCUGUAAUCUCAUAACUUUGGGUGGCUGAGGCAGGCGGAUCACAUGAGGUCAGGAGUUCGAAACCAGCUUGGCCAUCAUGGUGAAACCCCUUCUCUACUAAAAAUACAAAAAAUUAGCUGGGCAUGGUGGUGCACGCCUGUAAUCCCAGCUACUUGAGAGACUGAGGCAAGAGAAUUGCUUGAACCUGGGAGUCAGAGGUUGCGGUGAGCCGAGGUUGUGCCAUUGCACUCCAGCCUGGGCAACAAGAGCGAGAUUCCAUCUGAAAAAAAAAAAAAAACACCGAUCUCAAAGAGGGAGUUGUGAGAACCCCAACUUGAAGCUGGUUGCUCUCAAGUUCCAGAGGCCCGGACUUGCGACUGACGUCUGGGGAGUUGGGGGCAGCAGUCUUGGGAACUGAGCUGUGAGAUCUGAUACUAUCUCUGGGUCUAUAGUGCUGGCAUUGAAUUGGAGAACACCCAGCUGGUGUUCACUGCUUGGUGUGUGGCGGAAAAACCCUCACACAUUUGGUCACAGAAGCCCUUUUCUGUGUUGGUGAUUGUUGUGCUGGUGUGAGAACAGAGGAAAAACACCGCUUGCAGAGUUUUUCCUGAAACAAUACUCUUUAGAGCGAUAGAAAUAAAUACCACGACCUGCGCAUUCAAAGCUGUUGUAUCUGGAUUGUGACUGCGUGGAAGGUCGAGGCGGGAAGACAGGGGCUGUUGCUUUUCGUUAUAAACUCUGCAUUACUUGAUUUUUGCACUACGUACAUUUACUUUGAUAACACUGGAAAGAAUAAAUUGGCCAUGUAGUGUAGCUUCCAAAAAAAACUAUUGCUUGGGUUUCAAGGUCAAGGAAAUUUCAUUCUCAUCAGUUUCUUGGGAAAGAGGAAGUGGAAUGAUGUUGUCAGAAAGUGAAACCAUGGGUCAUUUUCAGAACUACUCAGAGUAAUAAAUAUUUUUUGUCAGUUUUGUUCUUACAAGUGAAAUGGACCGCAGAGAGGCACUUUUUCUUUUCUUUUUUCUUUCUUUCUUUUUUUUUUUUUUGAGAUGAAGUCUCGCUCUUGUACCCCAGGCUGGAGUGCGAUGGCGUGAUCUCGGCUCACUGCACCCUCCACCUCUCCAGUUCAAGC
Molecule: long non-coding RNA, 2184 nt
Filed under: Homo sapiens (human)
Lineage: Eukaryota; Metazoa; Chordata; Mammalia; Primates; Hominidae
Description: HSALNT0388191
Source: RNAcentral